This 253-nucleotide ribosomal RNA is filed under the name uncultured bacterium. Its description in RNAcentral is "partial 16S ribosomal RNA". It matches the Rfam family "Bacterial small subunit ribosomal RNA", at positions 524 to 776 of the family's 1533-position model. The record is from RNAcentral.
UACGAAGGGGGCUAGCGUUGCUCGGAAUCACUGGGCGUAAAGCGCACGUAGGCGGCUUUGUAAGUUAGAGGUGAAAGCCUGGAGCUCAACUCCAGAACUGCCUUUAAGACUGCAUCGCUAGAAUCGUGGAGAGGUGAGUGGAAUUCCGAGUGUAGAGGUGAAAUUCGUAGAUAUUCGGAAGAACACCAGUGGCGAAGGCGACUCACUGGACACGUAUUGACGCUGAGGUGCGAAAGCGUGGGGAGCAAACAGG